This 387-nucleotide ribosomal RNA is filed under the name Triticum aestivum (bread wheat). RNAcentral's name for it is "partial small subunit ribosomal RNA". The record is from RNAcentral. Lineage: Eukaryota; Viridiplantae; Streptophyta; Magnoliopsida; Poales; Poaceae.
AUGGCAGCCGCGGGAGAUCCUCUCCAAGGUCAAGAACGUCCAGGCCAAGCCUGCUGGCCGCCCUCGCGGGUGACUGCCUCUGCGGUGACGACGGCGGCGGCCUCAUCGUCCCCACCCCCGAUUCAUCUCCAAUCCCGCCGCCGACACCCAACCCCACCCCCACCGGCGACCUCCCUCCCUUGCUUCUCAACCCAACGCCACGGCCUCCGGUAUCUCCCCGACAGCCGCCACUCCCGUACCCUCUCCAAUCCCCUCCCCUCCCCUACCCUCACCAGAAGAGGAAGAGAAGAGGGUCAGGCGGAUCAGGCGGCCGCCAUGGCGCGACCAGAUCUGCCACGGUUGCCCCGCACAUUGUCCAGGGGCUCGAGUCCACGGACUAGUCUGUGA